AAUCUAUAGGUGAUUCCUUGACAGUUUCGUCAGCUUCUACUACUCUUUCAAAAUCAUCUAUCUGCCCUUCAAUUUCGCCUGUCUCAGAUUCAUCAAUUUCUUCAUCUUCUUCAAUACAAAGAAAAUCUUCAUCAUCAUCAUCUUCACUAUCUGGUUCCUGAUGUCUGGCCGGUUUCAAAUCUUUCUUGAUCACACGCAGCAUCUGAAGAAGUCCAUCAUUUGU
RNAcentral lists this unclassified non-coding RNA (223 nucleotides) under Hevea brasiliensis (rubber tree). The record is from RNAcentral. Lineage: Eukaryota; Viridiplantae; Streptophyta; Magnoliopsida; Malpighiales; Euphorbiaceae.